Molecule: long non-coding RNA, 301 nt
Organism: Corythoichthys intestinalis (scribbled pipefish)
Lineage: Eukaryota; Metazoa; Chordata; Actinopteri; Syngnathiformes; Syngnathidae
Exons: 4
Source: RefSeq, a predicted model, not a curated record
GAGCUAGUGAAGACGCAGCUUCUUUGGUUUGUCUGACAGUUACAAACAUACUGCGGGAAAAAAAAAAAAACGGAUUCAACUACAGUCUUUGUGCGUCACUGGAAUUGAGGGCAGCUCGUGACAGCGCGGUUUGGCCAACCGUUAACUGCGUGCCGCCAUCACCUUGUUCUGGAAGGCAGUUUGUGACAGCGCGGGUUGGCUAACAACCGUUAGCUACGUGCCCUCAUCACCUUGUUCUGGCCGGGUCUUUUAUGCGGGAGUCGCCUUUCAUUGAGGACAUCGUGGGAGAUCGCUUGUGAAG